UACGGGAGGCAGCAGUGAGGAAUAUUGGUCAAUGGCCGAGAGGCUGAACCAGCCAUGCCGCGUGCGGGACGACGGCCCUAUGGGUUGUAAACCGCUUUUGUUGGGGAGCAAUAAGGUCCACGUGUGGAUCGAUGAGAGUACCCAGCGAAUAAGCAUCGGCUAACUCCGUGCCAGCAGCCGCGGUAAU
Molecule: ribosomal RNA, 187 nt
Filed under: uncultured rumen bacterium
Lineage: Bacteria
Description: partial 16S ribosomal RNA
Rfam family: Bacterial small subunit ribosomal RNA
Source: RNAcentral